GAUGAACGCUGGCGGCGUGCCUAAUACAUGCAAGUCGAGCGAACAGACGAGGAGCUUGCUCCUCUGACGUUAGCGGCGGACGGGUGAGUAACACGUGGAUAACCUACUUAUAAUUCUGGGAUAACUUCGGGAAACCGGAGCUAAUACUGGAUAAUAUAUUGAACCGCAUGGUUCAAUAGUGAAAGACGGUUUUGCUGUCACAUAUAGAUGGAUCCGCGCCGCAUUAGCUAGUUGGUAAGGUAACGGCUUACCAAGGCAACGAUGCGUAGCCGACCUGAGAGGGUGAUCGGCCACACUGGAACUGAGACACGGUCCAGACUCCUACGGGAGGCAGCAGUAGGGAAUCUUGCGCAAUGGGCGCAAGCCUGACGGAGCAACGCCGCGUGAGUGAUGAAGGUCUUCGGAUCGUAAAGCUCUGUUAUUAGGGAAGAACAACUGUGUAAGUAACUAUGCCCGUCUUGACGGUACCUAAACAGAAAGCAACGGCUAACUACGUG
RNAcentral lists this ribosomal RNA (497 nucleotides) under uncultured bacterium. RNAcentral describes it as "partial 16S ribosomal RNA". It matches the Rfam family "Bacterial small subunit ribosomal RNA", at positions 28 to 507 of the family's 1533-position model. The record is from RNAcentral.